UACGUAGGGGGCAAGCGUUGUCCGGAUUUAUUGGGCGUAAAGAGCGUGUAGGCGGCCAGGUAGGUCCGUUGUGAAAACUCGAGGCUCAACCUCGAGACGCCGAUGGAAACCAUCUGGCUAGAGUCCGGAAGAGGAGAGUGGAAUUCCCGGUGUAGCGGUGAAAUGCGCAGAUAUCGGGAAGAACACCUGUGGCGAAGGCGGCCCACUGGCUCGAUACUGACGCUGAGGUGCGAAAGCGUGGGGAGCAAACAGG
This 253-nucleotide ribosomal RNA is filed under the name uncultured bacterium. RNAcentral's name for it is "partial 16S ribosomal RNA". It matches the Rfam family "Bacterial small subunit ribosomal RNA", at positions 524 to 776 of the family's 1533-position model. The record is from RNAcentral.